CAUUUAGAAUUUUUUCAGGUUCGGUCUCUUUCAAUGGAGUUCAUCGGUUGAUCAGCGAGCUGAAUCAGGCUUCCAGAAAUUACUUCAAGUGAAGUAUCGAAUUAAUUCUUCUCCGACAAGGCGAUUAUGUCAUUGGUUUUUUUGUUUUUAGUAAGUAAUUCGUCUUCCAAGUGGAAUCCAUUCUAGGCAACAGAUCUGGUCUGCGUUUGAUAGCAAUCUGUCGACGUUUCUGACAAAUACAUCUGCUCUGUAUUUGCUAAUGUUCUGUUGACAGUUUUGAUAACAGAUAUGCUCUGUAUUUGGCGAUAUUUUAGCGCCAACAGACGAUUACCAAACCUGUUCCAGGUUUGAUGCCUCACUUCGGCUUCGCUUUGCUAGUGGCAGAUCUGUUAUGAUUUUGGUCUCGUUUUAAAAUAUCUAUAGGUUGAACAGAUUUAAUCGUCAAACUAUAUCCUACUGAGGAUACAGUAGGCUAUAGUUUUGGCAUUAGAUUCCGCCAACGAUUUUUGACAAAUCCACGACAUCCCACAACUUGUUUGCAACAAAUUGUUUGCUAGAUUAUUCAGAGACGAAUACUUACAUUAUAUUUAUUAUAUAUAAAACUUAAAAGACGUGAUAAAAAAAACUUAAACGUCAAUACUGGGUACGAUCAAUUUUCUCAGAAGAAAGAAGAUUAAUGCAAGGAGCAAACAACAAUUUAGUUCGUGAAAUGGAAAUUAUAUAGAUAAAGAAAAAUAUUUUAAUUAUUUUCGGAUGCCAAUAGAAAUAUUUGAAAAACUGCUAAGCAUUAUUGAGCUACAUAUUACAAAAAAAAACUAUUGUCCGCACACCACUCUGCACGCACUCGUUUGCAAGUGACCUUGCGAUAUCUAGCUUCUAGAGACAGAUGAUUUCUAUAUCGUAUGCUUUUCGUAUUGCGCACAAUACUAUUUCCAAAAUUGUCUCAGAAACGUACGGUGCUAUCUGAAAUGCUCUUAAAACCAAAGUAUUUUUACAACUGAAUACAACUAAUUGGCAAAAUAUCGCAGAAAAUUUUGAAAAUAUUUGGCAAUUUAAUAACUGCAUUGGAGCCAUUGAUGGGAAGCAUGCCGUCAUACAGGCAUCACCAAAUAAUGGUUUCAUAUAUUAUAAUUAUAAAGGACGACACAGUCUCAUUUUUCUUGGAAUAAGCGAUGCUAACUGUUGUUUUAUUGUGGAUAUCGGUGGGGAAGGAAGACAAUAUGAUAAUACAAUAUUUCAAAAUAGUGACCCAG
This is a long non-coding RNA of Pseudomyrmex gracilis, 1253 nucleotides long. RefSeq lists it as uncharacterized. The transcript has 3 exons. The record is from RefSeq and is a predicted model, not a curated record. Lineage: Eukaryota; Metazoa; Arthropoda; Insecta; Hymenoptera; Formicidae.